UACGGAGGGGUCUAAAGAUGUAAAAACCCACUGCCCGUAAAGCGCACGUAGGCGGAUUUGUAAGUCAGGGGUGAAAUCCCGGGGCUCAACCUCGGAACUGCCUUUGAUACUGCAAAUCUCGAGUCCGGAAGAGGUGAGUGGAAUUCCUAGUGUAGAGGUGAAAUUCGUAGAUAUUAGGAAGAACACCAGUGGCGAAGGCGGCUCACUGGUCCGGUACUGACGCUGAGGUGCGAAAGCGUGGGGAGCAAACAGG
Molecule: ribosomal RNA, 253 nt
Filed under: uncultured bacterium
Lineage: Bacteria
Description: partial 16S ribosomal RNA
Rfam family: Bacterial small subunit ribosomal RNA
Source: RNAcentral